UUAGAGGACAUCCCCUGCAGUUAUGUCCAACCACAUUACAGAUGGCAUGGCAACACGGAAUUCCACUAACUUCCCAAGCUCUACAAGAACAAGUUUUCAAAUUCAAGUCCACAACAUAUUUGUCACCACCUUCCAUAAUCUCGUAUCCUUGAUCUCCAUUCCAUAUCAAGUGGCAAUAUCUACUAGCAGUUGUAUUCUGAUGUAACUUAUGCACAAUCCUUGGACCAUAAUUUCUUGUCCACUUAGCA
Long non-coding RNA from Syzygium oleosum, 248 nucleotides. RefSeq lists it as uncharacterized. The transcript has 2 exons. The record is from RefSeq and is a predicted model, not a curated record. Lineage: Eukaryota; Viridiplantae; Streptophyta; Magnoliopsida; Myrtales; Myrtaceae.